Molecule: transfer RNA, 89 nt
Filed under: Cellulomonas algicola
Lineage: Bacteria; Bacillati; Actinomycetota; Actinomycetes; Micrococcales; Cellulomonadaceae
Description: tRNA-Ala
Source: RNAcentral
CCCGGCGUGGCGGACGAUCCGUGACCGGCUCGCGGCCGGUCCGGUGCUGGUCCAGGUGCCCCGGGCGGGCUACGUGCCCGUCGUCGCGU